GAUGAACGCUGGCGGCGUGCCUAAUACAUGCAAGUCGAGCGAACAGACGAGGAGCUUGCUCCUCUGACGUUAGCGGCGGACGGGUGAGUAACACGUGGAUAACCUACCUAUAAGACUGGGAUAACUUCGGGAAACCGGAGCUAAUACCGGAUAAUAUAUUGAACCGCAUGGUUCAAUAGUGAAAGACGGUUUUGCUGUCACUUAUAGAUGGAUCCGCGCCGCAUUAGCUAGUUGGUAAGGUAACGGCCUACCAAGGCAACGAUGCGUAGCCGACCUGAGAGGGUGAACGGCCACCCUUGAACAGGAACACGGUCCAGACUCCUACGGGAGGCAGCAGUAGGGAAUCUUCCGAAAUGGGCGAAAGCCUGACGGAGCAACGCCGGGUGGGGGAUGAAGGUCUUCGGGUCGUAAAACUCUGUUAUUAGGGAAGAACAAAUGUGUAAGUAACUAUGCACGUCUUGACGGUACCUAAUCAGAAAGCCACGGCUAACUACGUG
This 497-nucleotide ribosomal RNA is filed under the name uncultured bacterium. RNAcentral's name for it is "partial 16S ribosomal RNA". It matches the Rfam family "Bacterial small subunit ribosomal RNA", at positions 28 to 507 of the family's 1533-position model. The record is from RNAcentral.